GGCACUUUGACCGAGUGGUUAAGGUGCAGGCCUGCUAUAGCCGUUUCGGCGAAGUUAGCCUGUGGGUUCGCCCGCGUGGGUUCGAAUCCCACAGGUGUCG
Aspergillus sclerotiicarbonarius CBS 121057 is the source of this 100-nucleotide non-coding RNA. NCBI's taxonomy places the organism in Eukaryota, Fungi, Ascomycota, Eurotiomycetes, Eurotiales, Aspergillaceae. The record is from the annotation of a GenBank genome assembly.